This 202-nucleotide long non-coding RNA is filed under the name Selaginella moellendorffii. RNAcentral's name for it is "long non-coding RNA (SMOE_LNC002349)". Lineage: Eukaryota; Viridiplantae; Streptophyta; Lycopodiopsida; Selaginellales; Selaginellaceae. The record is from RNAcentral.
AUCCAUGCGUAAGGAACUUAAGAGAAGGCGGCAAAGAGUAUUGUGCCACGCCAUAUGUGCUAGACAAGCAACGGGGAUGCGGACAAGAGCUUGGUUUCAUCUCACGGAGGUAUCUGCGGAAAACCUUGGACCUCUUCAAUUUUUCCCUGUCAAACUCAUGCUACAGAGUUUCAAGCUCACGUUCAGCCGCUAGGCAAGAAGA